CCCCGUGUAGUUCAAUGGACAGAACUGCCGCGUCCUAAGCGGUCAAUCUAGGUUCGAUUCCUAGCGCGGGGA
Molecule: transfer RNA, 72 nt
Filed under: Candidatus Kaiserbacteria bacterium RIFCSPLOWO2_01_FULL_54_13
Lineage: Bacteria; Candidatus Kaiseribacteriota
Description: tRNA-Arg
Rfam family: tRNA
About the family: Transfer RNA (tRNA) molecules are approximately 80 nucleotides in length. Their secondary structure includes four short double-helical elements and three loops (D, anti-codon, and T loops).
Source: RNAcentral